CAGGCUUAACACAUGCAAGUCGAGGGGCAGCCUGGUCUUAGCUUGCUAAGGCCGAUGGCGACCGGCGCACGGGUGAGUAACACGUAUCCAACCUGCCGUCUACUCUUGGACAGCCUUCUGAAAGGAAGAUUAAUACAAGAUGGCAUCAUGAGUCCGCAUGUUCACAUGAUUAAAGGUAUUCCGGUAGACGAUGGGGAUGCGUUCCAUUAGAUAGUAGGCGGGGUAACGGCCCACCUAGUCUUCGAUGGAUAGGGGUUCUGAGAGGAAGGUCCCCCACAUUGGAACUGAGACACGGUCCAAACUCCUACGGGAGGCAGCAGUGAGGAAUAUUGGUCAAUGGGCGAGAGCCUGAACCAGCCAAGUAGCGUGAAGGAUGACUGCCCUAUGGGUUGUAAACUUCUUUUAUAAAGGAAUAAAGUCGGGUAUGGAUACCCGUUUGCAUGUACUUUAUGAAUAAGGAUCGGCUAACUCCGUGCCAGCAGCCGCGGUAAUACGGAGGAUCCGAGCGUUAUCCGGAUUUAUUGGGUUUAAAGGGAGCGUAGAUGGAUGUUUAAGUCAGUUGUGAAAGUUUGUGGCUCAACCGUAAAAUUGCAGUUGAUACUGGAUAUCUUGAGUGCAGUUGAGGCAGGCGGAAUUCGUGGUGUAGCGGUGAAAUGCUUAGAUAUCACGAAGAACUCCGAUUGCGAAGGCAGCCUGCUAAGCUGCAACUGACAUUGAGGCUCGAAAGUGUGGGUAUCAAACAGGAUUAGAUACCCUGGUAGUCCACACGGUAAACGAUGAAUACUCGCUGUUUGCGAUAUACUGCAAGCGGCCAAGCGAAAGCGUUAAGUAUUCCACCUGGGGAGUACGCCGGCAACGGUGAAACUCAAAGGAAUUGACGGGGGCCCGCACAAGCGGAGGAACAUGUGGUUUAAUUCGAUGAUACGCGAGGAACCUUACCCGGGCUUAAAUUGCAGAUGAAUUACGGUGAAAGCCGUAAGCCGCAAGGCAUCUGUGAAGGUGCUGCAUGGUUGUCGUCAGCUCGUGCCGUGAGGUGUCGGCUUAAGUGCCAUAACGAGCGCAACCCUUGUUGUCAGUUACUAACAGGUUCCGCUGAGGACUCUGACAAGACUGCCAUCGUAAGAUGUGAGGAAGGUGGGGAUGACGUCAAAUCAGCACGGCCCUUACGUCCGGGGCUACACACGUGUUACAAUGGGGGGUACAGAGGGCCGCUACCACGCGAGUGGAUGCCAAUCCCCAAAACCUCUCUCAGUUCGGACUGGAGUCUGCAACCCGACUCCACGAAGCUGGAUUCGCUAGUAAUCGCGCAUCAGCCACGGCGCGGUGAAUACGUUCCCGGGCCUUGUACACACCGCCCGUCAAGCCAUGGGAGCCGGGGGUACCUGAAGUGCGUAACCGCGAGGAGCGCCCUAGGGUAAAACUGGUGACUGGGGCUAAGUC
RNAcentral lists this ribosomal RNA (1440 nucleotides) under uncultured organism. RNAcentral describes it as "16S ribosomal RNA". It matches the Rfam family "Bacterial small subunit ribosomal RNA". The record is from RNAcentral.